UAGGGAAUCUUCCGCAAUGGACGAAAGUCUGACGGAGCAACGCCGCGUGAGUGAUGAAGGCUUUCGGGUCGUAAAACUCUGUUGUUAGGGAAGAACAUCCGGGAUUACCUCCCGGUCUGACGGUACCUAACGAGGAAGCCCCGGCUAACUACGUGCCAGCAGCCGCGGUAAUACGUAGGGGGCAAGCGUUGUCCGGAAUUAUUGGGCGUAAAGCGCGCGCAGGCGGCUUCUUAAGUCUGGUGUGAAAGCCCGCAGCUCAACUGCGGAGGGCCACUGGAAACUGGGAAGCUUGAGUGUAGGAGAGGAGAGCGGAAUUCCACGUGUAGCGGUGAAAUGCGUAGAUAUGUGGAGGAACACCCGUGGCGAAAGCGGCUCUCUGGCCUAUAACUGACGCUGAGGCGCGAAAGCGUGGGGAGCAAACA
This 422-nucleotide ribosomal RNA is filed under the name uncultured Aneurinibacillus sp. Its description in RNAcentral is "partial 16S ribosomal RNA". It matches the Rfam family "Bacterial small subunit ribosomal RNA", at positions 355 to 774 of the family's 1533-position model. The record is from RNAcentral. Lineage: Bacteria; Bacillati; Bacillota; Bacilli; Caryophanales; Paenibacillaceae.